Molecule: ribosomal RNA, 492 nt
Filed under: uncultured bacterium
Lineage: Bacteria
Description: partial 16S ribosomal RNA
Rfam family: Bacterial small subunit ribosomal RNA
Source: RNAcentral
AGUGAACGCUGGCGGUAGGCCUAACACAUGCAAGUCGAACGGCAGCACAGUAAGAGCUUGCUCUUACGGGUGGCGAGUGGCGGACGGGUGAGGAAUACAUCGGAAUCUACUUUUUCGUGGGGGAUAACGUAGGGAAACUUACGCUAAUACCGCAUACGACCUACGGGUGAAAGCAGGGGAUCUUCGGACCUUGCGCGAUUGAAUGAGCCGAUGUCGGAUUAGCUAGUUGGCGGGGUAAAGGCCCACCAAGGCGACGAUCCGUAGCUGGCCUGAGAGGAUGAUCAGCCACACUGGAACUGAGACACGGUCCAGACUCCUACGGGAGGCAGCAGUGGGGAAUAUUGGACAAUGGGCGCAAGCCUGAUCCAGCCAUACCGCGUGGGUGAAGAAGGCCUUCGGGUUGUAAAGCCCUUUUGUUGGGAAAGAAAAGCAGCAGGUUAAUACCCCGCUGUUCUGACGGUACCCAAGGAAUAAGCACCGGCUAACUUCGUG